UAUGGUUGUAAACUGCUUUUGUACCSGAAUAAACCCCUUUACGUGUAGAGGGUUGAAUGUACGGUAAGAAUAAGGAUCGGCUAACUCCGUGCCAGCAGCCGCGGUAAUACGGAGGAUCCGAGCGUUAUCCGGAUUUAUUGGGUUUAAAGGGUGCGUAGGCGGCCUAUUAAGUCAGGGGUGAAAGACGGUAGCUUAACUAUCGCAGUGCCUUUGAUACUGAUGGGCUUGAAUGUACUUGAGGUAGGCGGAAUGUGACAAGUAGCGGUGAAAUGCAUAGAUAUGUCACAGAACACCAAUUGCGAAGCAGCUUACUAAAGUAUGAUUGACGCUGAGGCACGAAAGCGUGGGGAUCAAACAGGAUUAGAUACCCUGGUAGUCCACGCCCUAAACGAUGAAUACUCGAUGUUGGCGAUAUACGGCCAGCGUCUAAGCGAAAGGKUAAAGUAUUCCACCUGGGGAGUACGCCCGCAAGGUGAAAACUCAAAGGAAUUGACGGGGGCCCGCACAAGCGAGGGAGCAUGUGGUUUAAUUCGAUGAUACGCGAGGAACCUUACCCGGGCUUKAAAGUUAGUGAAUGAUCCAGAGACGGAUCAGUCCUUCGGGACACGAAACUAGGUGCUGCAUGGCUGUCGUCAGCUCGUGCCSUGAGGUGUUUGGGUUAAGUCCCSCAACGRGCGCAACCCCUAUGUUUAGUUGCCAGSACGUUAAGGGGGGGG
This 716-nucleotide ribosomal RNA is filed under the name uncultured Sphingobacteriaceae bacterium. Its description in RNAcentral is "bacterial SSU rRNA". It matches the Rfam family "Bacterial small subunit ribosomal RNA", at positions 418 to 1137 of the family's 1533-position model. Lineage: Bacteria; Pseudomonadati; Bacteroidota; Sphingobacteriia; Sphingobacteriales; Sphingobacteriaceae. The record is from RNAcentral.